This 4690-nucleotide long non-coding RNA is filed under the name Homo sapiens (human). RNAcentral describes it as "non-protein coding lnc-LRRC47-78:10". Lineage: Eukaryota; Metazoa; Chordata; Mammalia; Primates; Hominidae. The record is from RNAcentral.
GUUGUUGCGGGAUCUCACAGGCUUUAAACCGCGGCGCCGCGGCGCCCGGGUGUGGAUCCCUAGAUGGGAGCCGGGGAUGGGCCGGGUGCCUGGUGGGUGGCAGUCGGGGCUGACGGCGGCGGCACUUUGCCGCCUCAGGCCCUGGACACCUUCACCCCGCCGCCUGCCCAGGCGGGCCGGCCCUGCCCGUCCACCGGCCGCCGAGAGUCCCCGGCCUUGGGUCCCCGGGGCCGCUGACUGGCCUCGGUCACCUCCCGGGGAAGGCUCCCGCGCCUCCAUCUGCCCCCGCAGGAAGGGACCCUCUUCUCGCCCGCGAGGCUUCUCCGGGUGGGAUCGUCCUGGCCCCCAGCCCUAAGGGAUCCGCCCCCUCCGAGCAUCCGCCGCCCCUCGGAGACCACUCCAGCUCGGACGGACCCACUCCAGCCCCCGCUGCACGCGGAAGCGCUCAUCCUCCCCGCCUGCCCCGUUCCCUCCCCCUUCUCCUGUGGGACAACCAGGGACCGCAGCUCCCCGCUCCCCAGGUGUGGGGGCUCCGACACGAACGCCUCUGCUCGCAGGGCGGUGAGCGCAGAUCCCACGGGUCCCUCGGUCGGGGGUCGAGGCUGCUUCCGUUUCCAUCCCGGACCCGACAAUGGGCGGGAAAAAGAAGGCUUUACACGACUACGCGGCGGAGUUCACCGACCUGGUGGUGAAGCACCUGAUUGAGCACAGUGACUCUGGGGACACGUCUGUGGUGGAGACCCUUUACUGCAGGGCCUGCGAGCUGCCCGUGCGCGUGCGGAGGGACCGCAUCCUGGAACACCUGUCCUCGGGCAGGCAGCACGGCCUGCGGACGCCCAUUCUCAUGUAAAUGUCAGUGCCAACGCUGGUGUUUCAGGAGUCAUCCCAGCGGGCUGCGGGCUAUUUUAGGAUUCUCUGCCCUGCAAACGUUUCCAAAGUACGUGGACAGGCCGCCUGAUGACACUACGUUUACGGGAUCUGCUAGUGGCUUGCCUACUUAGGGAGUAAACCCUGUGAAGUCUCGCAGUUUUGUUAAAGUGUGCGUGGCCACCUGAAUGCUGCCUUAUCACAAGCCAGAUACAUACUGGUCUGUAGGGUAACUCCCCACUGUUGAUCCUCUGAGAUGAUUGUGGACUGGGUGCUGUGAGUCCUGCCACUUUGUUUAAGUGAAUGUGUCUUUUGUCCAGCUCAGCCGCCUCGGAUCUCGCUGCCACCAGCCUUACUGCACACCCGUGCCACCCGCCCUUGCCCCGUCAGCCUCAGCCUCAGCUCAUUCUCUCAGGCAGUCCCAGCAUUGGCACGGUACCUCCUCCCGCUGUGGGCCACACGUCUCUGCUCCCUGUCAACCCUCCUGCCAUCAGCACCACCACCAGCGACUUGUCUGCCCGGGAGGAUGCAACACCAUCUGCCUCCACCGGCCACCUUUCAGUGUUUCCUGCUUUCCAAGUAAAGAUACCAGCAGUGCCCUCAGAGCAGACCAGCCAGAGUUUUUCUGAAGCCUCCCACAGGGUGCUCCCCGGAGGAGGCCCGAGAUGCUCUCGUGACUUUGGAGCCGGGGUGGCUGGCCACCUUGGCCUGGGCAUCUUUGGGGUGGGCUUCGGGAGCCCGGCACUGCUGCAGAGUGUGGUGGAUGAGAACAGCUGCUGCUUGCUGUACGUGGUGGAGGACCAGCUGUGUGAUGUGGAGCAAGCCUUCAGAGCUGAGCAUUUGGGCCAACACCAGAGUGGUUCGGGAACAGGAUGCAGACAUUGUCCUCAACGACCAGCGGCACUUUGAUCCGGUUUUCCAGUUCUUGCACAAGCAAGUUUGUGUCAGCCACGCCCUGGGGAGGAUCCACUGGAUCACCGCCGUCACUGCCUGUUCCCGGCGGCCUCUCCGGCUUCCCUAAAGAGAGCAGGUGGGACUUUCUACAACGCUGCUGUGCACGACGUGGAUGCCGUAUGCAUGUUGCUGGGGGAAGCCACUCCGGACACUGUGUUUUCUCUGGGACAUGUCUUCUGCCCAGAUAUGGCCGCCUUAAAAGAUGCAGAUGCUGUUGUGAUCAGCAUGAAGUUUCCCUGUGAGGCCGUGGUUAGCGUGGACAUCAGCCAGCACUGCACAGACAGCUGCGACCAGGACGUCAGCCAGCACUGCACAGACAGCUGCGACCAGAGACUGGAGGGAAAUAACCUCCUGAAAUCACCAAAGAGCAGUUCCUCAGGGCCUUCCGGGUGACCGUGGCCGUGGAGCAGUCGUGGUGAAACCGGUCAGCUGUGGACCUGCCCUGCGAAUCGGCAGAGGCCUCCGUGGUGAAGACAGAAGCUCCGUGAACCAACUCGAGGCUGGAGCCAAGAUCCUGCCUGAUAUCCAGUUGCCUGUUUCACUUGUUACUGUUACUGGGAGAGGGAGACAAAACCUCAUGGCAAUCUUGUCCUCACUGGAGACUCAGAAGGGGAAGCAUUGGGAAACCAUGUAUGUUUCAUUUCUGGUUUAACCAGGCUUUUCAGGAUGGGACUUCAGACCAAGGACACAAGUUGGGCUUGCUUAGGUGUUUUGUGUUGUGCGCAGGCCUCAGAGAUGCUCUUCCGGUCAGAGUUCCCUUGGCAGGGCCUUGGAGGCCUCUGGUUGGCUCUCUCAGGAAGAGGGCAGGUCAGGGAUUGGGCGGUGUAAAUUGACUCAGAAACCUGCGGUUUCAGCUUUUCUGUGGCAAACAGGGCCGAGGGCUGGUGAAGCUGUUAAGGCUAAAUGUCGCAUGCAUGAGGCGGGCUGCAGGCCUCCUUAGGCCUUUUUUGGGGUAAUUACACCAGUAUUUAAAAACAUUUUUUUUUGUUUGUUUUGAGAUGGAGUCUUGCCCUGUCACCCAGGCUGGAGUGCAAUGGUGCGAUCUCGGCUCACUGCAACCUCCGUCUCCCAGGUUCAAGCGAUUCUUCUGCCUCAGCCUUCUGAGUAGCUGGGAUUACACGCGUGUGCCACCACGCUCGGCUAAUUUUUGUAUUUUUAGUAGAGAUGGGAUUUCACCAUGUUGGCCAGGCUGGUCUCGAACUACUGACCUCGUGAUCCACCUGCCAUGGCCUCCCAAAGUGCUGGGAUUACAGGCGUGAGCCACCAUGCUCGGCCUAAAAAACAAUUUUCUUGAAGAAUCCGAUUUUGUGCAUAGUAAUGACACAGCACCAUUCCUGAGAAAUAGGAAAUAUAUGUGUGUGGUAUGAAAAGCCCAUAUUCUGUUCUUGUCACCUGAAUCUAGGCUUCCUCUUUGGAUGUGAACGCGGGAAUGAACAGUGGCUGUUUUCCACCCAAAGGGGCGUGGAGACCUUUUGGAAACGGGCUUUCUCCUUUCCAUUUUGCAGCCGGGGGCGGGUGGAAACCUUCCUUCGAAGGGUAGUGCCUUGGGGAGCAGCAGACCUGCUCUGAGUCCAGCUUAGCUUUCCAAAAUUCUGUGUGGAACUUACUGGAGAUGUUUUUAUAUAUUUGAAAAUAAUGGCCUGUAUUUCUCACGCUAUACUUAAAAAAAAUAACUAACCUUUUAAACAAAGAUAUUCAAACUCACCCUUGUGCUGAAAGCACUCACAUUUCUGUGUUCAUUCCUGAAAGGGCGUUUUAGAGUCCCCGUUUCUACGUUCUAUGUGGCACCCUCUUGCCGAGGGAACAUCCAGAAUCCCUCCACUUCCUGUCUAGUUUGAGGCCUCAACACCUUCAUGAUCCAGAGUCCUGCGGCUAUGAGGGGGUGGGCCCACCACCGCCCAGCCCUCCUUGGUGGACGUGGGGACAGGUAGGAGCCUAGGGAAAGGGGUGGGCGGGCUCUGGUGUGACGGCGUGAGCGCUAGCCAGGAAGAUGGGGCCAGGGCUUGGCAUGGCACCUCACCUGUGGGGGAACUCGGCGGAGCUUCCUGGCGGCAUCUCCCCCUCUUGCCUUGGUCCUUUCUAUCUUUGUUUUAGGCCAAUUUCUAAAAAGACUGAGGCCUCCUUCAAGGUUGAACAGAUUUCUAGAGCCUUGUUUUUGCUGUGACAAGUCCCUAGUCCCUGUUCACAACUCUGAAACCAAGAAACCUGAGAACCAAGAGAACUGAAAUGAAGCCCGUUGGUCUCAGCCUGGCUUGAGCCAACAUGAGGCUCUCUGCUGCCUUUUGUUUUCUUAGGUUUUGCUGAGAAACGGGAGUGCGUUCUGUGUCGGUGUUUGUGACGCCCUGAGACCCUGCUUGGCCUAGCUAAAGUCCAGAAGGCCUGGGCCCCACAGGGCUUGGAUGAGGGCUCAUGGGCCUGUACUUCAGGAGGCCUGAGAGGCCCGGUCAGUCCCAUGAGGCUACUCGGCUUGGCCCGCAGGUCCUCCGAGGCACAGGGCAGAGGGACACCCCAGGGACCCAUCAGACUCACGACACAGAGAAACUCAAGUGGGGUGCCAGGGCCGGCCACAGAGGCCACGGGCUUCCUGCCUGUGAGGAGCCGCCCUGUUUGUCUGAGCCCUUUGGAGAUUUAGGUUGAGUCAUGAGAACCGGUCAUUGGAACAUACACUUUAUUAUGUUACAAAAACAAAAAUCCCCACUGAAACACAGCUAAAAAAAUAACACAUUUUCCCAAGAUUACAUUACCAAAAACAGUUGUUAUGUCAUUGGAGGGCGUCCAUUAAUACUGCUCGGAGAAGCACGAUCUUACACGAAAAACACGGAUGGGAUUUCGUUUUCACCUUAAAGCAUUAAAGUGCUUUAACUGGUAA